This 309-nucleotide long non-coding RNA is filed under the name Physcomitrium patens. Its description in RNAcentral is "long non-coding RNA (PPAT_LNC014236)". Lineage: Eukaryota; Viridiplantae; Streptophyta; Bryopsida; Funariales; Funariaceae. The record is from RNAcentral.
UUAGUUAUAAUAAUGUGGUUUAUAUAAGAAAAUCUAUACAAAAUUUAAAUAUUUGAAGAACAAAGAGUAGCAAGUAUUAGUCUAUUGGUUUCUUUGGAACUAUGUUGAUUAUUACGAAUGCUUAUUGUGAGGCCAAAUUUCAUCGCUUGAUGAAACCAAUGUCAAACAACAAGUCCAAGAGGUGGAAUUGGAGAGCUCCCAAUUGUGUAAUUGUUAGAUUAAUUUAAAUCUUUAUAUUAAAAAUUCAAUUAGUUUUAGGCCUUCAAAGCAAUGGUUACCAAUAUUAAAUUAACAUGUUAAAUGAAAUUU